ACAGAUCGUUCAGAGUUUGAUCCUGGCUCAGGAUGAACGCUGGCGGCGUGCUUAACACAUGCAAGUCGAACGCUGAAGCUCCCAGCUUGCUGGGGGUGGAUGAGUGGCGAACGGGUGAGUAUCACGUGAGGAACCUGCCCUGAACUGUGGGAUAAGCCUGGGAAACUGGGUCUAAUACUACAUAGGACGCUCCAUCGCAUGGUGGGGUGUGGAAAGCUUUUGCGGUUUGGGAUGGUCUCGCGGCCUAUCAGCUUGUUGGUGGGGUAAUGGCCUACCAAGGCUUUGACGGGUAGCCGGCCUGAGAGGGUGACCGGCCACACUGGGACUGAGACACGGCCCAG
RNAcentral lists this ribosomal RNA (341 nucleotides) under uncultured bacterium. RNAcentral describes it as "bacterial SSU rRNA". It matches the Rfam family "Bacterial small subunit ribosomal RNA", at positions 1 to 334 of the family's 1533-position model. The record is from RNAcentral.